RNAcentral lists this ribosomal RNA (617 nucleotides) under uncultured Actinomycetes bacterium. RNAcentral describes it as "bacterial SSU rRNA". It matches the Rfam family "Bacterial small subunit ribosomal RNA", at positions 556 to 1174 of the family's 1533-position model. The record is from RNAcentral. Lineage: Bacteria; Bacillati; Actinomycetota; Actinomycetes.
GGGCGUAAGAGCUCGUAGGCGGUUUGUCACGUCUGCUGUGAAAUUCCGAGGCUCAACCUCGGACUUGCAGUGGGUACGGGCAGGCUAGAGUGCGGUAGGGGAGAUGGGAAUUCCUGGUGUAGCGGUGGAAUGCGCAGAUAUCAGGAGGAACACCAAUGGCGAAGGCACAUCUCUGGGCCGUAACUGACGCUGAGGAGCGAAAGCGUGGGGAGCGAACAGGAUUAGAUACCCUGGUAGUCCACGCCGUAAACGGUGGGUGCUAGCUGUGGGCCACAUUCCACGUGGUCCGUGACGAAGUUAACACAUUAAGCACCCCGCCUGGGGAGUACGGCCGCAAGGCUAAAACUCAAAGGAAUUGACGGGGGCCCGCACAAGCGGCGGAGCAUGCGGAUUAAUUCGAUGCAACGCGAAGAACCUUACCAAGGCUUGACAUAUAGAGGAAAAGUGCAGAAAUGUACUCCCCGCAAGGUCUCUAUACAGGUGGUGCAUGGUUGUCGUCAGCUCGUGUCGUGAGAUGUUGGGUUAAGUCCCGCAACGAGCGCAACCCUCGUCCUAUGUUGCCAGCACGUAAUGGUGGGAACUCAUGGGAUACUGCCGGGGUCAACUCGGAGGAAGGU